AAGAUGGGAAAACUUUUUUUUUUUUAACUAAAGAAAUUAUCAUAAAAGGUUAUGACAGUGAUUACCUCUAAAAGAUAUGGAAAGGAUUAUGACAGGGAUGGGAAGAUGUACACUUUAGCUUUGGGAUGCGCAUAAAGCUCUUUUUCUUGCAUUAAGUAAGCUACAUGUGCACAUGGACGAUCUGUGGUGCUUUCCUGACCUGGGGGAGGAGGGAGAGCCAAGCACACAGAGAAACAAUUGCAGCAAUGCCUGCACAUAGUUGCAGGGCUUCUCUUGCCAUACGAGGCUCAGCUUUUUCCCAGGCCUUGAGCUCCCAAAUAAAUUAUGAUGUGCUAUUUUUACAUUAGUUUAUCUUUUAUCCUAGAACACAACUGAGAAACAGAAUUUGUAUGCAUGGUAGAUAUGUUAAAACCUUGUGUUUGUACGUCUAGCAUACUAAGACUUUUCACAUGUGUGAGUAAUUUUUAAAUAGCAAAUUUAAAACAUAUAUCAUCGUUUUAACACCAUAAAUCUUAAUAGUAAACAAAUACUCAAAACAAGGAAAGGUUAAAGAUAGCCUUUAAAUNNNNNNNNNNNNNNNNNNNNNUAAGCAGACAGGCAGUUUGACGGCUAGAUUACAAACCACUGGAAAAGAGAUGGGGGAUCAGUAAUUUAAGAUACCAAAGAAUCACUAUAAAAUACUUUUCAUAUAAAUCACUUAACCACUAAGUGAAUAAUUGCUUAUUUAAGAAAAUCCAGUUGAAGUAGAAGGAUACACAGAGACCCAACUACCUUCUGAAAAAUAGUUUAGAGAAAUACAAAAUAUGGUAUGUUCUCAUGUAGAAUGUAAAAAUGCCAAACCCAUUGAAAUAGGGAAUACAAUGGUGGCUGCCAGGGGCUGGAGUUGAAGGAACUGGGGAGAUAUUGGCUAAAAGGAACAAACUUCUAGCUGUCAAAUGAACAACUUCUGGGAACCUAAUGUCCAGCAUGGUGACUAUAAUGAACCACACUAAAAUAUAAUUCAAAGCUGUUAACAGAGCAGAUCCUAAAUGUUCUUGCCCACACAGAAAAUGGCAAUUAUGUGAGGACAUGUGGGUGUUAACUGACUUUGCUGGGGGUAAUCAUUUCACAAUAAUACAUGUGUAUCAAAUCAUCACACUGUACAUCACUCAAUUUGUCAACAGAAUUGACAAUUCUAUCUCAAUAAAGCAGUAAAUAAAUAUAUAACUAAAUAAGAAAAAAAGAUGUUUAGAAUCUCCAUGGAGCCUUUAAAAGGUCUUUUCACAAUCAAGUUGUCUUUAAAAGGACUGUUUAAAAAACUAACCCAAGACCUAAAGUGGAAGGUGAUAAACUCAACAAAUACUUUCUGAUCAAGAGACAUGUAAACAUUUUUCCUGCAAGUAGGUCACAAUUCUAUGGAGUUAAUAACUAAAAAGUAGAAUUCUGAUUGCAUUAUAAUCCUAUAGACACUUUCAGGAGAUGUGGAGCUCUGAAGGGGACUAGAAAGCAAAGUAAUGGGGAUUAUCUGGGAGUGGAUGA
Molecule: long non-coding RNA, 1518 nt
Filed under: Capra hircus (goat)
Lineage: Eukaryota; Metazoa; Chordata; Mammalia; Artiodactyla; Bovidae
Description: lncRNA (ENSCHIG00010011406.1)
Source: RNAcentral